Molecule: non-coding RNA, 1117 nt
Organism: Phoenix dactylifera (date palm)
Lineage: Eukaryota; Viridiplantae; Streptophyta; Magnoliopsida; Arecales; Arecaceae
Source: RefSeq, a predicted model, not a curated record
AGCUUGACCAUAUUUCAUCUUUUUUGCAGAGAUUUGCUCCUCCGGUUGCUGAUACUUCAUCUACUCGUAGAGAUGAUGAUGCCGUCGACUCUUGAUACAUCGUAGAUUGUGUACUUACGAUUUUGAGAUGAAUGUUUUUAGAUUGUUUUAAAUUUUUUUUUUUUUGAUACUUACCUCAAUUUCCAAAAUACGAUUAUGCCAGAACUUUGAUAAGUAUAGAUCUUGGAAAGGACUUUAAUUAGUAUGUUCUAUGUUGACUUGACAGGAACAUGGUUUCCAAAAUCUUAUGUAUAACAAUUAGUUUGUAGAGUUUGAUCGGUUUAAGAUAGAUAAUGCAGAUUCGGUCAACCUCAGCCAAAGGAAGAAACACUAUCUAGACACUCCACUCCAUUUUAGGUCCUAACAGGCUCCAGGGCCAAUAGACCGGUCCCAUUACUGGUACAAUGGUCCAGCAUCCCAGUAAUGCUGAGUUAAUCCAUAGUGGAUUUGCAGGGUGAGAAUUUUUAACACGUAUUACUAUUGCUUGAUCAAUUGAAGUAUUGAAUUGGCAUCAUCCAGCUAAAAAACAUGCAUUUGUUAGUUAUAGAAAUUUAAGUUGUAUGCCAUAUUUUAGGUGGUUAAUUUUGUUUAAUUUGCUUUAUGAUCACUUUGCAAACUGGCAUUUUCUGAUUGCAAUACAACUUUCUUAUAUGGUUUACAUGGUACUGUUGUGGUAAAUGAAGGUGAUUCAUGUAAUGAUCGAGGUUAGUGUAUGUGCCAGUCUGUAUUCAAUCUUUGAUUUGUAAACCUACUUCACUGAUUGACUUCAGUUUUCUAGAUGGCCUUUGAAUCUGUAUUAUAGAUGCAGGCUAAACUUAUGUGUGAUUCAAGAAUGAUAGAGAUGUUGCUAUAAUGUUUGGAAUUGUAACCAUGGUGCUUCAUAAUUGAACACCGAGUUAUUGUUUGCAUGUAUUCAAUGGGCACAACUCCCAGGUGACAUCUCUUGAUUUUCAUCCAAAGAAGACAGAUCUCCUCUGCUCUUGUGAUGGCAAUGGUGAAAUUCGGUUAUGGAGUGUCAGCCAGUUUUCAUGCUCACGUGUUUCUAAGGUUAGUUUUCAUGAUUAUGCUUUUAUAUGUU